GACGUAGGGGGCCAGCGUUGUUCGGAAUUACUGGGUGUAAAGGGUUCGUAGGCGGUGCGGCAAGUCGGGAGUGAAAUCUCUGGGCUUAACCCAGAGGCUGCUUCCGAAACUGCUGUGCUUGAGUGUGGGAGAGGCGCGUGGAAUUGCAGGUGUAGCGGUGAAAUUCGUAGAUAUUCGCAAGAACACCAGUGGCGAAGGCGGCUCACUGGC
RNAcentral lists this ribosomal RNA (210 nucleotides) under uncultured bacterium. Its description in RNAcentral is "partial 16S ribosomal RNA". It matches the Rfam family "Bacterial small subunit ribosomal RNA", at positions 524 to 733 of the family's 1533-position model. The record is from RNAcentral.